CUAGAAUGUUCAGUAAACAAUAAAUUGGUAAAAAUACAGCAAAACUAAAAUUUAAUGAACGGUUUGGGGAAAUACAUUGAUACUUCUUGGCCUGUUCAUUAACGAGCGUGUUGUGGCAAUUUAGGAGAUUUUUUUUAAAUGAUCCACAUAAUAACAGGAAGGACACCAUACUGCUGUCAAACAAUUUGACUCCGUGCCAGGCAGAAUUUAGGAUUCCUAAACAUAGUUAUGGAGAUUUGUAGCACUGUAUGGGCGCUGGAUACGCAAGGACUGUGUAUCUUCACAUUUACUGUAACAAAACUAUCUCCACCCCUUCUGAUGUCUGUAGCAUGGAGGAAUGAUGGUGGACUACACCUCCUGGGUGAAGCUAUCUACUUCCAGAAUACACUUUGGAAAAUCCAUAGAGGUCCCACCACCAGAGAUAAAGCUCUAUAUGGGUUUUUUUGUUGGGAGUUAGGUCACCCUAUCAGGAAUAGCAAGACCUCUGUCUCUCCAUGUCACAGGCAGUAAAAUGAUAAACUGGUGAAGAACGUCAUCAGGCCUAAAAUACUGGGUCAUAUAUUACGAUCUCCACUUUAAUCAGAUUAUCUGAUUUGUUCAUGGGAAAUGUAUCACUUAUUAAACAUACACAUCUGAACAAUGUUAUUUUGUAUUUGUGUGAAAGUGUUGAGCAUCGAGUCGAUCAAUAUCUCAUACUUACUCCUACUGUGAUAACAUAGACCAAUAUGGUCCAAAAUCAGCUAUUUCAUAGAAAUGAUAAAACUAUUGGAUGAGGCCCUUAAAUACGGACCUGGCUCCAAUAAGCAAAGAGCAGACUAAGAAGCGGAAAUCCUGCUUAAUAUCUGGAAUGCCAGCUGUUGGGAGUCCAGUUCCUAUUCUGCGUUACAGUUUGCCAAUCUCUUCAUUUAUUCCGUACAUCAGGCACUUCUUUACAAGCUUUGGCAAAUGACUGGUUUCAUUGAAACCAAGAUAUUCAGAAAAAAUAAACAGUUGGUACAGCCGAGCUGGAUUUUGGCAGUCGGUGUGAUUGUAGCUUAUUACUGAGAGUUUUGCGAGUGUC
Non-coding RNA from Pelobates cultripes (western spadefoot toad), 1060 nucleotides. The record is from the annotation of a GenBank genome assembly. NCBI's taxonomy places the organism in Eukaryota, Metazoa, Chordata, Amphibia, Anura, Pelobatidae.